GAUGAACGCUGGCGGCGUGCCUAAUACAUGCAAGUCGAGCGAACAGACGAGGAGCUUGCUCCUCUGACGUUAGCGGCGGACGGGUGAGUAACACGUGGAUAACCUACCUAUAAGACUGGGAUAACUUCGGGAAACCGGAGCUAAUACCGGAUAAUAUAUUGAACCGCAUGGUUCAAUAGUGAAAGACGGUUUUGCUGUCACUUAUAGAUGGAUCCGCGCCGCAUUAGCUAGUUGGUAAGGUAACGGCUUACCAAGGCGACGAUGCGUAGCCGACCUGAGAGGGUGAUCGGCAACACUGGAACUGAGACACGGUCCAGACUCCUACGGGAGGCAGCAGUAGGGAAUCUUCCGCAAUGGGCGAAAGCCUGACGGAGAAACGCCGCGUGAGUGAUGAAGGUCUUCGGAUCGUAAAACUCUGUUAUUAGGGAAGAACAAAUGUGUAGGUAACUAUGCACGUCUUGACGGUACCUAAUCAGAAAGCCACGGCUAACUACGUG
This 497-nucleotide ribosomal RNA is filed under the name uncultured bacterium. RNAcentral describes it as "partial 16S ribosomal RNA". It matches the Rfam family "Bacterial small subunit ribosomal RNA", at positions 28 to 507 of the family's 1533-position model. The record is from RNAcentral.